RNAcentral lists this long non-coding RNA (1039 nucleotides) under Gossypium barbadense (sea-island cotton). RNAcentral's name for it is "long non-coding RNA (GBAR_LNC018292)". Lineage: Eukaryota; Viridiplantae; Streptophyta; Magnoliopsida; Malvales; Malvaceae. The record is from RNAcentral.
AGCUCAAGUCGUUGGAGGAUGGGGAGGUUAAACCUGUUGAGGGUGGAAAUACGACCGGCUUGUGGGUUGAAAAUGUCGGCACGUUCAGGGUCAGCAAGGUUCUCCUUGAUCCUCAUGGAGCAGAAAGUUUCCUCGAGGCCAUUAUCUUGAGACCCUCCUCUCGUAUGGCGGUAUCGCUGCUCCUGCUGGCGCUCCUCACGUUCUUCUUCCUCCAUUCUGGGUGGUGUUACGACUUGGAGUCUGUCCCUGACUCUGAUGAUGGUGCCUCUAUUUCCUCGUACACGUUGGAUUUUCCUAAUGAUGUCGUGGUCAACGUUGAAAGCUUGAGCGAGGAAGUUUCUGUCGAAGGCACAGAGAAGGUUGUUGCAUGAUGAGCUUUCCCGCCCCUGCUCCUCCUCCUCCUGGUGGCGGCUGCGGCGGCUGGGGUUGUCUUCUUCUUCUUCUUCUCCUUCUCCUUCUUCUUCCUCAGACUCCUCCCCCCUCUCACUUCUUCCCUGCAUCUGCUGUGCUAGCCUCCUCAGUUGCCUCUGUUCCUCUUCUGGGUUACCAGCAAGAUGGAAUCUCUAUAACAUUACAAGAGAGAGAUCAUCAAAAACAAAAACAAAAAGUUAUGUAUAGAAAGGGAUUGUCAAAAUUAUAAAAAAUUAUAUACUCUAGGGAUGUUGUCGAGCUGAUUAGCACUGUUGCCAGUGUCAAGUAGAUUGAUAGUAACAACACGCUCAUUGCCAUCAUUGUAGCUCCAGUGAACCACACCCUGCGGCAAAGCAAUGAUGUCACCCUGGCGGAACCGUCGGACUUUCUGGUGCUGGUCCUGGAACCUGCCACGGCUUUGAUGCUGCCAUUGCUGUGAAUCCUGGAAUGUUUCGGCACAUCCAGGCAUCACAAUACCUUGAAUACCUCUUCCUGAAAAAACAAAUUUAAACAUCAUUUUGUAUUUUAUACCAACGAUAAUAACACCAUUAGUGACGCACUAUUAUACCUUGGACAAUGUAGAGAAGCUGAGGAGCAUUGGUGAAGGAAGGCAAAACAAGGCCAUUAG